RNAcentral lists this ribosomal RNA (355 nucleotides) under Gyna sp. MNHN BL636. RNAcentral's name for it is "partial 12S ribosomal RNA". The record is from RNAcentral. Lineage: Eukaryota; Metazoa; Arthropoda; Insecta; Blattodea; Blaberidae.
UGUAAUUUUUAAAUUAUUUAUAUUUAAGUAGUAAUAGUUAUGAUCUUGAAACUUAAAUAAUUUGGCGGUAUUUUAGUCUAUUUAGAGGAAUUUGUCCUAUCAUCGAUAGUCCACGUUGAACCUAACUUUGAUUUAUAAGUAUGUAUACCGCCGUCUAGAAAAUCUUUUUAGAGUUUAAUUUCUUUAUAUUUUAAUAAGUUAUAUUUCAGGUCAAGGUGCAGUUUAUAUUAAAGUAGAGAUGAAUUACAAUAUAUAAAUAUAUUACUAAUUGUGAAUUGAAAAUUUUAUAUGAAGGUGAAUUUAAUAGUAAUUUUAUAAAGAUUGUUAAUAUGAUUUUGUUAGCUCUAAAAUAUGU